Molecule: ribosomal RNA, 319 nt
Filed under: uncultured Prevotella sp.
Lineage: Bacteria; Pseudomonadati; Bacteroidota; Bacteroidia; Bacteroidales; Prevotellaceae
Description: bacterial SSU rRNA
Rfam family: Bacterial small subunit ribosomal RNA
Source: RNAcentral
GAUGAACGCUAGCUACAGGCUUAACACAUGCAAGUCGAGGGGCAGCAUUAUCGAAGCUUGCUUUGAUAGAUGGCGACCGGCGCACGGGUGCGUAACACGUAUCCAACCUUCCCUUAGUAGGGCAUAGCCCGGCGAAAGUCGGAUUAAUACCCUAUGUUUUCCAAUGAAGACAUCUGAGCUGGAACAAAGAUUUAUCGCUAAGGGAUGGGGAUGCGUCUGAUUAGGUUGUUGGCGGGGUAACGGCCCACCAAGCCAUCGAUCAGUAGGGGUUCUGAGAGGAAGGUCCCCCACAUUGGUACUGAGACACGGACCAAACUCC